UACGAAGGGGGCUAGCGUUGCUCGGAAUUACUGGGCGUAAAGGGCGCGUAGGCGGAUUAACAAGUUGGGGGUGAAAGCCCGGGGCUCAACCUCGGAAUUGCCUUCAAAACUGUUAAUCUGGAGUAUGGUAGAGGUAAGUGGAACUCCGAGUGUAGAGGUGAAAUUCGUAGAUAUUCGGAAGAACACCAGUGGCGAAGGCGACUUACUGGACCAUUACUGACGCUGAGGCGCGAAAGCGUGGGGAGCAAACAGG
This 253-nucleotide ribosomal RNA is filed under the name uncultured bacterium. Its description in RNAcentral is "partial 16S ribosomal RNA". It matches the Rfam family "Bacterial small subunit ribosomal RNA", at positions 524 to 776 of the family's 1533-position model. The record is from RNAcentral.